This 205-nucleotide unclassified non-coding RNA is filed under the name plant metagenome. RNAcentral describes it as "partial contains small subunit ribosomal RNA, internal transcribed spacer 1, and 5.8S ribosomal RNA". The record is from RNAcentral.
GUAGGUGAACCUGCGGAAGGAUCAUUACAGUGUUCCCUGCCCUCACGGGUAGAAACGCCCACCCUUUGUGUAAUAUAUCUUGUUGCUUUGGCAGGCCGCCCUCGGGCACCGGCUUCGGCUGGGUUGCGCCUGCCAGAGGACCCCAAACUCUGAAUGUUAGUGUCGUCUGAGUACUAUAUAAUAGUUAAAACUUUCAACAACGGAU